CCUACGGGUGGCAGCAGUGAGGAAUAUUGGUCAAUGGACGAGAGUCUGAACCAGCCAAGUAGCGUGAAGGAUGACUGCCCUAUGGGUUGUAAACUUCUUUUAUAUGGGAAUAAAAUGUUCCACGUGUGGGAUUUUGUAUGUACCAUAUGAAUAAGGAUCGGCUAACUCCGUGCCAGCAGCCGCGGUAAUACGGAGGAUCCGAGCGUUAUCCGGAUUUAUUGGGUUUAAAGGGAGCGUAGGUGGAUUGUUAAGUCAGUUGUGAAAGUUUGCGGCUCAACCGUAAAAUUGCAGUUGAAACUGGCAGUCUUGAGUACAGUAGAGGUGGGCGGAAUUCGUGGUGUAGCGGUGAAAUGCUUAGAUAUCACGAAGAACUACGAUUGCGAAGGCAGUUCACUGGACUGCAACUGACACUGAGGCUCGAAAGUGUGGGUAUCAAACAGGAUUAGAUACCCGAGUAGUC
Molecule: ribosomal RNA, 460 nt
Filed under: uncultured bacterium
Lineage: Bacteria
Description: partial 16S ribosomal RNA
Rfam family: Bacterial small subunit ribosomal RNA
Source: RNAcentral